This is a non-coding RNA of Kogia breviceps (pygmy sperm whale), 859 nucleotides long. The record is from RefSeq and is a predicted model, not a curated record. NCBI's taxonomy places the organism in Eukaryota, Metazoa, Chordata, Mammalia, Artiodactyla, Physeteridae.
GAUCGAUGUCGCGGAUAGCACCGUAUUUGUAGAACACGUCCUCAAUGUCCUUGGUUCGGAUGUCUGGAGGGAUGUUAGGCAGUUUACAGAGAUACCAUAAAACAUUACUAAAAGUGGAUGGAGAAAUCAUGGGGAAAAUAAGGGAGGAGGAUUAAAAUGAAGGCAUCGAUAAGAUAUUGGUCCACUUCACUCCUCUUUGGAAGAAGAAAGAAGUGAAACUCAAGGAAGAUAUGACCUAUGCUGAAAAGAAGUUGAGAAAUCCUCUCCAUGUAUCACAUAGAGAAACAAAAGUGCCCCUGGCCACACAGGAUGCAGCCUCUAGUGCUAUCCAAAUAUGUAACUAGAGGAAAUGUGAUGUAGCUCUUUUGUCUUUCUAUGUUUCUGAAGGAUGUCUCCCUUGUGGAAAAGCUGACUGGAUGAUUAAAAACCUCCUGAUCAGUAUAAUGCUUUUUUUUUGUUGCUCAGGGUUUAUCUGUGUUCUUUUUUUUAACCAACUAGUUGGAAAUACAUCUCAGGUUCCCCCUUGCUAAUCUGGUGUGCUGAGCAGGAGCCUGUUCUUUGAAAAGUACAGACUUUGGAGCUAAAGAGAUCUGAAUUUGAAUCCUGACACCUCUACUUACUAGUUGUGUUAUCUGGGACACCUCCACUUACUAGUUGUAUUACCUGGAGCAUCUUCUUUUAUUCAUUGAUUUGUCUAUUUGUGUUUUCAUUCUCAUUCAGAAUGUUUCUCGAGCACUCUCACUAUGCCACGGGUACAAACAUAAAGCCACGUGACCCCUGCCGAGGACAAUUUGCCCUUGGUCUACCCCAGUAGCCUACAAACUUUCCUGACCACUCACACGAUCAAUAAAACAUUUUU